This 852-nucleotide ribosomal RNA is filed under the name Fusarium oxysporum f. sp. apii. Its description in RNAcentral is "LSU rRNA". It matches the Rfam family "Eukaryotic large subunit ribosomal RNA", at positions 34 to 916 of the family's 3401-position model. Lineage: Eukaryota; Fungi; Ascomycota; Sordariomycetes; Hypocreales; Nectriaceae. The record is from RNAcentral.
UUAAGCAUAUCAAUAAGCGGAGGAAAAGAAACCCACAGGGAUUGCCCUAGUAACGGCGAGUGAAGCGGCAACAGCUCAAAUUUGAAAUCUGGCUCUCGGGCCCGAGUUGUAAUUUGUAGAGGAUACUUUUGAUGCGGUGCCUUCCGAGUUCCCUGGAACGGGACGCCAUAGAGGGUGAGAGCCCCGUCUGGUUGGAUGCCAAAUCUCUGUAAAGUUCCUUCAACGAGUCGAGUAGUUUGGGAAUGCUGCUCUAAAUGGGAGGUAUAUGUCUUCUAAAGCUAAAUACCGGCCAGAGACCGAUAGCGCACAAGUAGAGUGAUCGAAAGAUGAAAAGCACUUUGAAAAGAGAGUUAAAAAGUACGUGAAAUUGUUGAAAGGGAAGCGUUUAUGACCAGACUUGGGCUUGGUUAAUCAUCUGGGGUUCUCCCCAGUGCACUUUUCCAGUCCAGGCCAGCAUCAGUUUUCCCCGGGGGAUAAAGGCGGCGGGAAUGUGGCUCUCUUCGGGGAGUGUUAUAGCCCACCGUGUAAUACCCUGGGGGGGACUGAGGUUCGCGCAUCUGCAAGGAUGCUGGCGUAAUGGUCAUCAACGACCCGUCUUGAAACACGGACCAAGGAGUCGUCUUCGUAUGCGAGUGUUCGGGUGUCAAACCCCUACGCGUAAUGAAAGUGAACGCAGGUGAGAGCUUCGGCGCAUCAUCGACCGAUCCUGAUGUUCUCGGAUGGAUUUGAGUAAGAGCAUACGGGGCCGGACCCGAAAGAAGGUGAACUAUGCCUGUAUAGGGUGAAGCCAGAGGAAACUCUGGUGGAGGCUCGCAGCGGUUCUGACGUGCAAAUCGAUCGUCAAAUAUGGGC